Junco hyemalis (dark-eyed junco) is the source of this 1212-nucleotide long non-coding RNA. The record is from Ensembl. NCBI's taxonomy places the organism in Eukaryota, Metazoa, Chordata, Aves, Passeriformes, Passerellidae.
UGGAAGGGACCCUCCAGGAUCCUUUCUGGAGUGAAUUAUUGAUCCAUAAAUUGUCUUAUUUACAGAGCCAUUUGAUGAGGCAAGUUCCUGAGCACAGGUAAAGGCACUGCACUGCUGAAAUUGGACAUUUGCUCUUGCCCAGGCAAUAAAAACCUUUAGAAAUCCAUAGCAAACACUAAAAUCAGAUUUGGAACAGUAUCACUUCUCAGUCAGUUCACAUGAACAAUUUUCAUUGCAGUGGUAGCAACACAAAUAUUUUUGCACAAUUAAGGCCUGGCAGCUGAGAAAAGCACAGUGGGAAGGAAGAGCCAAACCAAUGUGAUGCCAUAAACACACUCCCACCAUGCCAGCAUCACUCAGAACAGCCCCCAGAAAUUGUAAUUUAUGUUGGCAAGGACAACUUCAGCAAGACCAGAGAUCAGAGAUGUGCCAUGAGCUUGAUCACCCUCCCACCACUGAUAUUCUCUCUUUUCUCCACAUUCAAAGCUGGCCUAUCCAGGGAUUUCCAGAAAGCUGCGCAAAGUGUCUGGAGCCUGCACUGAGAAACUCUUAAAGCAUUCCCAAUGGGAAGAAAACUUCUGGUUUUGUAACCCAGGACAGCAUGACAAGACAUCAGACCAAGCAAAAGAUAAAAAAGGGAUAUAAAGGGUAUUUGUUCAUAACAGAAUCACUGAAUAUUCUCAGUUGGACAGAUGAUGCUUCCAGUCAAAGGAAUUUUCCUGCUCGUAUUAUCCUACCAUAACCCUUGAUUCCAACAAUAAUAUCCAUAAUUUUGCACUGAAAAGUUAAUUUUACAGAGUCAAAAUGGCAAAUAUAUCGCCUAUUAUUAUAUUCUUUCUUUUGUGUAUUUUUACAUUUCCUAUAAAUGAACAGAACAUUUCUCUGUGUAUGAAAUAGAUCACAAAGCUCUGUUUAAAGAUUUUUCCAACUAUUUGUGAAAUUCAUCACUUAGAAUAUUCCAAUAGGCUGAUACUGAUAAACACUAUUACUUGUUUAGUUUUGUCUCCAAUGAGGAUUUGCCGUUUUGGAACGUCCUAUUUUUAGUCAAACAGCUAUUGAAAACUUAUAUAACUCAUCCAAUAAGUUCUUGUUUGUCCAACAAAUGUGAUUUGCUACAGAACAUUUCUGUAAUUUUAUAUUACUACCUAGGAGCUGAAAUGACCCAAAAAAGAGUUCAUUUGGAUAUCUGAAAAGAAAUAAAACAUACUGAGA